GGAGUAUUGGACAAUGGGCGUAAAGCGCGCGUAGGUGGUUUGUUAAGUUGGAUGUGAAAUCCCCGGGCUCAACCUGGGAACUGCAUUCAAAACUGACUGACUAGAGUAUGGUAGAGGGUGGUGGAAUUUCCUGUGUAGCGGUGAAAUGCGUAGAUAUAGGAAGGAACACCAGUGGCGAAGGCGACCACCUGGACUAAUACUGACACUGAGGUGCGAAAGCGUGGGGAGCAAACAGGAUUAGAUACCCCUG
This 250-nucleotide ribosomal RNA is filed under the name uncultured Pseudomonas sp. RNAcentral describes it as "partial 16S ribosomal RNA". It matches the Rfam family "Bacterial small subunit ribosomal RNA", at positions 553 to 789 of the family's 1533-position model. The record is from RNAcentral. Lineage: Bacteria; Pseudomonadati; Pseudomonadota; Gammaproteobacteria; Pseudomonadales; Pseudomonadaceae.